UACGAAGGGGGCUAGCGUUGUUCGGAAUUACUGGGCGUAAAGGGCGCGCAGGCGGUCUUCCAAGUCGGAUGUGAAAGCCCCGGGCUCAACCUGGGAACUGCAUUCGAGACUGGGGGACUUGAGUUCGGGAGAGGAGAGCGGAAUUCCAGGUGUAGCGGUGAAAUGCGUAGAUAUCUGGAGGAAUACCGGUGGCGAAGGCGGCAUCCUGGACCGACAUUGACGCUGAUGAGCGAAAGCUAGGGGAGCAAACGGG
RNAcentral lists this ribosomal RNA (253 nucleotides) under uncultured bacterium. RNAcentral's name for it is "partial 16S ribosomal RNA". It matches the Rfam family "Bacterial small subunit ribosomal RNA", at positions 524 to 776 of the family's 1533-position model. The record is from RNAcentral.